Molecule: RNA transcript, 3245 nt
Organism: Orcinus orca (killer whale)
Lineage: Eukaryota; Metazoa; Chordata; Mammalia; Artiodactyla; Delphinidae
Gene: CCDC159
Gene name: coiled-coil domain containing 159
Exons: 10
Source: RefSeq, a predicted model, not a curated record
GGGAGGGGGAGGGGGAGGGGGGCUCGACUGGGGGCCUGCCUGCAAUUGACACUCAGAAAUGCAUCUUGCCUUUCCCCUCCAAGUCUCCCAGGGCUCCUAUGAUUCCCAAGUACCAAGUCCUCAGUGUGAUGUUCAAGGACAGACACUGAGCUUCCCACUACUGCAUAUCAGGCACUGGCAUGGAUUAAUUUACUUAAUCACAACAACCCAGUAAGGUGGAUAGUAUGACAUCCCAUUUUUAUAGUUGGGGACAAUGAGGCAUGGAGAGGUUUAGUAACUCCUCCAACAUCGCACAGCUGGGAAGGGGCAAAGCUAGGAUUUGAACCUGGGCCAUCUAGCUGGAGGGUCUCCUUGAUUAAUCAUCAUGCUGUACUGCCUCUGGAAGUGAGGACCUCCCUGAGGCGGUGACUUUUGAAGUGGUAGCUUAGAACAGUUCAGGCAGAAUAAUAACUCCUACAUCACAGGGUGGGUGUGAACACCCAGUGAGGGCUUAGGGUGGUGCUCAGCACUCAGCAAGAUGCUCAGAAAAUAUGAGCUUAAAAAGGGAUUAAGGAAGAUUUUACAGAGGCAAUGCUGAGUAGGGUUUUGAAGGGUAUGUAGGAGUCUUCCAGGAGAACUGGGUUAGGGGAAAGAUACCAGAAGGCCCAGCAAGGACAAAAGAAGAGAAAGGCAUAUACUGUGGCCUUUCUGGCUGACUGUGAUCCAUGGCAAGUUGCCCUUCACCUGGAAGUUUUUCCAGACAGACCUCCCCCAGGUUUCUCCAGCUGUGCCAGCCCUGACUACACUGGAAGGGCAGGGGGUGUGGAUGUGAGACCCAGAACUGAGUUCUUUCCUGUUUCCAGCCUUACCUAGUACAGGCCUGGGACCCCAUUCAGCUACCAUUUAUUAAAUAGAUAUGCUCUGCCUCUCCUGCUCACAUUCUAUGUCUCCCAUUUACUUGGGGAGCCAGUUCCCCGGCUUGGCUUGCCCGGCCUUGCUAACCUCCUGCUGCUUCCUUUUGGGCCCUGCCUCCAGCCACCCUGCCUCGACCCGCAAAGAGCACCUGGUUGCAGACUUCCAAGUUUUUGCACACGCUGUUUCCUGCCAGGGAUGUCCUUCCUUUAGGGCCCAAUGUUAAGAUCUUUUUUUCUUUUAGGCUCGUCUCAGACCUCACUGACUCCUGUGGGAUCUUCUAGGUCCUUCUCACUGCCCAUCCUAACCCCUGGGGCUGGGAUCAUCUUUCACCCAGCUUUGGCUCCUAUCAUAAAUAAGAGGCCUAUGUUCAGGGCUGAGGCCUCUCUGGGGUGUCAGAGAGGGCAUGAGAGUGUCAGGACCUGGGAGCUGGUCUCAGUGCAGCCCUCUGUCCCCCCUACUCUAAGCAACCCUCUUCUGGCCCGCCUACCCCUGGACCCUGACUACUCCGUGCCUUGCUAUUGCUCACCUCCGGUCACCCUCCAACGUGUGUUUGCCUGCUAAUGAGAAGUGUGACAAGUGCUGCCGUUCGCUGAGCGGCUGCCCUGGGGCUGGAGACCAGGAGGGGCUGGAGUGCUCUGGGCUGGCUCUCAGGAAACCUUCACCACACACCCCACUCCCAGGCGCUUCCUCAGAAAAGACCUUGGAAUAUACAUUUCACUGGUCCAGGACCCCAGAGCCAGAGACCUUGCAGCUGGCUGCACCCGAAAACACAGUGACAAUUGGAACCUGGAGGCCAGGGAGAGACUCGGGGCUUCAGUCGCAUGGGUCCCUCCCGAACUCAGACUCACAGAAGCACUGUAAUGACCAGGACCCUCCAAAGAGGCAUCACAGCAACACUAAGAACCCCUGGGAGACCAGCUCUUCCAAAACCAAAGUCCACCGUGAUGAUUCCCGAAUCCCAGAAGCUUCUGAGAUGUGAACUGGAGUCACUCAGGUGUCAGCUACAGGCCCAGACCAAGGCUUUCGAGUUCCUAAACCACUCAGUGACCGUGUUGAAGGACAGAUGCCUGCAGCAAAUCAAGAGCCAACAGCUUGAAGAGGUGCUGGGCCCCACGAGCCACCAGGCAGACAAGGAGAGACACAAGUGGGACGUGGAGGAGGGACGGCAGGAGCUAUAUGAGGCCCUGGCUAAAGGCCUGCAGGGGCUGCAGAAGACCCUGUAUGACAACGAGGAAGUGCAGAGGGCCCGUACCACCCGCUGUCUACAGCUGUUGGCGCAGGAGAUCCGGGACAGCUCUGGCCCACCUGAGUCCCCUCCCCCUACAGAGGCGCAGGAAGAGGAGAUUACGGAGAACCUGGUGAACAUCCAGAAGAUGCAAAAGACACAGGUGAAGCGCCGCAAGGUCCUGACCAAAAUGAAGCAGCAUGGGUAUGAGACAUCCACCUGGCCAGAGACUGAGGAGUUGCCACCAGGAGGCAGUGGCUCAUGGAGGGAUGACCUCCAGAAGGAGCUGGGUGACAUAUGGACUCAUCUCCGCCCCUGCCCCCACCAUGGCCUCCCUGCCCCAGCUUUGAGCAGUCCAGAGUCGCCCCCCGGGGCCCCCAGAUCCCCAUCUCCCCACAGGCCCGCUGUGCACCUGCUGCAGAACUCCUUUGGUGGCCUCGCCAUAUACUCAGGGGGCCGCCCCAGGGCUGCGAGCCUCACGGAAUUGCACCUGUCCCUCCUGCUGGCUACAAGGGGCACCGAUGCCUGAGCCCGCCACGCCCCUCCUGGGACUCGGACUCGGACUCAGACCAGGACCCUUCCCAGCCACCACUCAGCAAGAGCUGCUCCUUCCCACCUGCCUGAGCAGCUGGGACUGCUCUCCCUGAAGACCCCUCCAGAGAGAAAAUAAACUAGCUGAGACCCUCCUCCACCUGUGGACUGCUGCUCCUGGCUGCUUCCUGUGCCUCAGAGUGACCCCCACAGUUUACUACCCAGUCUUGGGGAGGGUGUGGAGACCCCAGGGACUGUUCGGGAUAUGUGGGCCUAGGGUCAGGGGACAGUGUGAGGCUGGAUUUAGUAUAUGACAAGGUCAGGGGUAAGUCUGUCUAGAUACGAGUGGCCAGAUAGGCCCUUGGCGAUCUGGCCUGAUGUCCCUACUGCCCAAAUGGGGAAAUUGAGGCCCCUGGCCCUCAUCUGCCCUGCGUUCCUCCUAACAAGAUCAAGCAGCGACCACCAGAACCUGGAACCCACCUGAGUCCCUCUCCUCCCAGGACUCAUCUCCGCCCCUGCCCCCACCAUGGCCUCCCUGCCCCAGCUCUGAGCAGUCCAGAGUCCCCCGGGACCCCAAGAUCCCCAUCUCCCCCCA